CCAGGUUGGUCGCAAGACUGCCUCCCCCUGCUUCCCGGAUGGAACCUACCCCUCAUUUCCAGAUUAUCAGGAUCUAUAGCUUUGUAAUAUCCAUGGACUAUUGGAUUAUACUUAUGCCUUUCAGAAGCAGGUUAGGAAGAGCAAAAGUGAGGGAGAGGAUUGCGAUUAUGUAUAAAACAGUUGUGAAUUUGAACUAGGGAGCAGGAGAAGAAGUUUGGAUAUUCCAGGACCCCAUAAAGGAAGAGCCAAUGAGAGGGUCUUGUCUAGGUGGAACAAUCUGGUCGGGGCCCUGGAGUUCGGCAACAGCUGACAUCAGCGGCAAAUGAGAUGAAAGGAAAUCAAUAGCACCAAGAACUGCCUCCAUCACAUGGAAACAGUGUCAUUGCCACUUUGAAGAGCUGAGGACAGAUGCUGGCAAGAAUACGAAGUGGCACCCUGUAGAGUCUAUUCUAGAUAUUUCUAUUAAGAAUUGGAAGAAUAAGACAGAUAGAGGCUCAUCUCUCUGGAAUGGUUC
Molecule: long non-coding RNA, 514 nt
Organism: Ornithorhynchus anatinus (platypus)
Lineage: Eukaryota; Metazoa; Chordata; Mammalia; Monotremata; Ornithorhynchidae
Exons: 3
Source: RefSeq, a predicted model, not a curated record